Syzygium oleosum is the source of this 3010-nucleotide RNA transcript. It is a transcript of the gene named pentatricopeptide repeat-containing protein At2g34400, with no coding region annotated. NCBI's taxonomy places the organism in Eukaryota, Viridiplantae, Streptophyta, Magnoliopsida, Myrtales, Myrtaceae. The transcript is spliced from 4 exons. The record is from RefSeq and is a predicted model, not a curated record.
CUCGGGAGGGUGGCUCCCCCUCAAUACGAUGCUCAGGGCACACGUCCUACCUCACCUCGUUCCCCGCCAACCGAGCCUUUCGAAAUCCCGACCCAUCCCCGUCCAUUCGCCGAAGCAGAUCCACUGCGAAUCGCUCCUGUCCCUCUUGAGAAGAUGCACUUCCACGAGAGCAGUCCGGCAAGUCCACGCGCAGAUGCUCGCCGGCGCCGUCGACAAGCCCAACUUCCUCCUCGCGAAGCUCGUCGACCUCAAGGACGUGCCGUACGCUUCCCUCGUCUUCUCUCGCAUCCCUCGGCCCAACGACUACGCCUUCAAUGUCAUGAUCCGGGGCUUGACCAUCGCGCGGCACAACUACCCUUUGGCGCUGCGCUACUACUACCGCAUGAGAUCCGCAGGGCUGAAGCCCAAUAAUUUCACGUACCCAUUUCUGUUCAUGGCGUGCGCGAAUCUUUGCGAGCUGGACCGCGGUCGAGCGGCUCAUUCGACGGUGUUUAAGGCUGGGUUGGACUCGGACAGUCAUACUAGUCACUCGUUGAUCAUGAUGUACGCCAAGUGCAGGGAGCUGGAGACUGCACGCAGGGUGUUUGACGAAAUUGUCGACAGAGAUUUGGUCUCGUGGAACUCGAUGAUAUCUGGGUAUGCGAAAAUGGGUUUUGCAGCGGAUGCGGUCGAGCUGUUCAGGAAAAUGGGGGAGGAAGGAUUCGUGCCUGAUGAAAUGACCGUGGUGAGCACUCUCGCGGCGUGUGGAGACUUGGGGGAUCUGAGUUUGGGCAAGUGGAUAGAAGUAUAUGUUCUGGAUAAUGUGAUGAAGUUGAACUCAUACGUGGGAUCUGCCUUGAUUGAUAUGUACGGGAAAUGUGGGGAUUUGACAUCAGCAAAGAGAAUUUUUGAUAAAAUGGUAGAGAGGGAUGUAGUGACUUGGAAUGCUAUGAUCACAGGUUAUGCCCAAAAUGGGAUGGCUGAUGAAGCGAUCACACUAUUUAGCACGAUGAGAGAGGCUGGCAUUGAUCCUGACAAAAUUACACUGCUCGGUGUGUUGUCUUCUUGUGCCUCAAUAGGCGCCCUAUACUUGGGGAAGUGGGUGGACACAUAUGCGUCUUAUAGUGGCUUAAGGCGUGAUGUUUAUGUUGGUACUGCUUUAAUUGAUAUGUAUGCUAAGUGUGGAAGUUUAGACAAUGCUCUUGAAGUUUUUGAAGACAUGCCUCAGAAAAAUGAGGUAUCUUGGAAUGCUAUGAUUUCUGCCCUAGCUUUUCAUGGUCGAGCAAAGGAGUCAUUAGCACUAUUUGAUCGGAUGUUGAAAGAGGGUGAGCAUGUCUGCCCAAAUGACAUCACAUUCGUCGGAGUACUCUCUGCAUGUGUGCAUGGUGGUCUGGUUACUGAGGGGCGUAGAAUAUUUGCUCUGAUGUGCACGUCAUUUGGAUUGGUCCCAAAAAUUGAGCAUUAUUCUUGUAUGGUUGACCUAUUUUCUCGUGCUGGACUUUUAUAUGAGGCAUGGAGCUUCAUUGAGGAGAUGCCUGGAAAGCCAGAUGAAGUUGUUCUGGGGUCAUUACUUGGUGCCUGUCAGAAGCGGCGAAAUGCAGAUAUCGGUGAGCGGGUGAUGCAGCUGCUUCUGGAAAUAGAACCUUCGAAUUCUGGGAACUAUGUUAUAUCAUCAAAACUCUAUGCUGAUGUGAAGAAGUGGGAUGAAUCAGCGAGGAUGAGAAUAUUGAUGAGACAAAGGGGUAUAACUAAGACACCUGGUUGCAGUUGGUUGGGGAUUGAGACUCAGCUUCAUGAAUUUCAUGCUGGUGAUGGUUUGCAUUAUAACACAGUGGAGAUGUAUCAAGUAUUGGUGGAUGAGAUGAAGAGGGAAGGUUAUAUUCCGAAAGCUGACAAUUCCGAAGAAACUGAGAAUCAGUAAAUAGGGUUCUUCUCUACUCUUCAAUCAAAUUUCUAUUGUAGAUAGCUCUGCAGCAUUCAUUUCUCCCAGGUAAUUGAUUAGUGCAGUUCCCAGGAAAUAAUUACAGCGCAUGGAGGGAUUCUCUGGACUGACUAGUGCUGGAGCUUAGAACAACCCCUGGAUGACUGAGAUAUGGCGAUCGUUUAGCAUUUGUUCCUGCAAGCUCUCGAAGCACUUGGAACAGAGGAAUUUAAUGGUAACUCCAAGUUGGUUUCAUCUAUUUUUGUAUUUUUAUGAUGUGUUGAAAACGGUGCUUCUGUGUGGUUCAUAGCAUAAUUGCUGUUCGACGGUCGCUAAUCUGGGGUUUCCUUUGGAGAAUGAGAGCCCAAGAAAUCAGAGAGGGUAUUGAGCGAACCGUACAUAUUUGUUUCUGCGAAUUAUGCAUCUACCCUUAAUCACAGGGGCCUUUCAGAAUCCCAGGUGUGGCUAGUCUACCCUUAAUCUUAUACUUCAAUUUGCAGCAAGUGCCUUACAUAAACUCAAAUGACUUACUAAUCAUUGAGUUGUUUAGCAGAGAAUGUUUACAUGUUAUUGAGGCCUGUUGUGGAGAUAAUUGAAAUGUCCAGGCGACAGACUCAUAGACUUGAAGAUGGUUUGCUACAAAUCACAAGUUUAUUCAGUUUAAAGUUGGGGAUAUGUUAUUCUAAAGCUUGUGAGGAACUCUUGCUCCACUGGAUUAUGCAUUUGGUUGCUAUACCUAAUGUUAUUCUACCCUUAAUCAGGCCAUCUUGUUCCAUGACUGUAAUUGCUUAAAGAUUCAGAAUCCAGAUGCAAUUCAGAAGUCAUGGAAGAUCAGUUUAUACUAGAUGAAAAAUGACAGGUGAGUUGUAGGGUGGAAUGAGGAAGAUCUAGAAGAGGCAUUUAACGUAAGAUAAAUUUUCUUAAAUCUGUCAUUCUGAUUAUGUCACCUACCUAGAGGAUCAAAUUCCGAUCAUAUUGAUUCAAACUCUUUCCUCAGUUUGUUACUUUGCCCAUACUUGCUAACCCGCUCACUUGUUGGGGGAUUGAAGUUACACACAUUGUAGUCUUAAGGAGUUUCAAUUCCAUCAAAUGAAGAUGUGUACUUCAUAA